UCAUUGUAAACAGACUGUAACUGC
Molecule: non-coding RNA, 24 nt
Filed under: Cricetulus griseus (Chinese hamster)
Lineage: Eukaryota; Metazoa; Chordata; Mammalia; Rodentia; Cricetidae
Source: RNAcentral